This 936-nucleotide ribosomal RNA is filed under the name Staphylococcus aureus M1248. RNAcentral's name for it is "bacterial SSU rRNA". It matches the Rfam family "Bacterial small subunit ribosomal RNA", at positions 8 to 925 of the family's 1533-position model. The record is from RNAcentral. Lineage: Bacteria; Bacillati; Bacillota; Bacilli; Caryophanales; Staphylococcaceae. RNAcentral also lists the same sequence under 1 other name.
AGAGUUUGAUCCUGGCUCAGGAUGAACGCUGGCGGCGUGCCUAAUACAUGCAAGUCGAGCGAACGGACGAGAAGCUUGCUUCUCUGAUGUUAGCGGCGGACGGGUGAGUAACACGUGGAUAACCUACCUAUAAGACUGGGAUAACUUCGGGAAACCGGAGCUAAUACCGGAUAAUAUUUUGAACCGCAUGGUUCAAAAGUAAAAGACGGUCUUGCUGUCACUUAUAGAUGGAUCCGCGCUGCAUUAGCUAGUUGGUAAGGUAACGGCUUACCAAGGCAACGAUGCAUAGCCGACCUGAGAGGGUGAUCGGCCACACUGGAACUGAGACACGGUCCAGACUCCUACGGGAGGCAGCAGUAGGGAAUCUUCCGCAAUGGGCGAAAGCCUGACGGAGCAACGCCGCGUGAGUGAUGAAGGUCUUCGGAUCGUAAAACUCUGUUAUUAGGGAAGAACAUAUGUGUAAGUAACUGUGCACAUCUUGACGGUACCUAAUCAGAAAGCCACGGCUAACUACGUGCCAGCAGCCGCGGUAAUACGUAGGUGGCAAGCGUUAUCCGGAAUUAUUGGGCGUAAAGCGCGCGUAGGCGGUUUUUUAAGUCUGAUGUGAAAGCCCACGGCUCAACCGUGGAGGGUCAUUGGAAACUGGAAAACUUGAGUGCAGAAGAGGAAAGUGGAAUUCCAUGUGUAGCGGUGAAAUGCGCAGAGAUAUGGAGGAACACCAGUGGCGAAGGCGACUUUCUGGUCUGUAACUGACGCUGAUGUGCGAAAGCGUGGGGAUCAAACAGGAUUAGAUACCCUGGUAGUCCACGCCGUAAACGAUGAGUGCUAAGUGUUAGGGGGUUUCCGCCCCUUAGUGCUGCAGCUAACGCAUUAAGCACUCCGCCUGGGGAGUACGACCGCAAGGUUGAAACUCAAAGGAAUUGACGGGGACCCGCA